Molecule: ribosomal RNA, 250 nt
Filed under: uncultured prokaryote
Description: partial 16S ribosomal RNA
Rfam family: Bacterial small subunit ribosomal RNA
Source: RNAcentral
UACGUAGGGGGCGAGCGUUGUCCGGAAUGACUGGGCGUAAAGGGCGCGUAGGCGGUUUUAUAAGUUAGGAGUGAAAUUCCAGUUUUCAAGAUUGGAACUGCUUUUAAUACUGUAGGACUUGAGUGCAGAAGAGGUAAGAGGAAUUCCCAGUGUAACGGUGAAAUGCGUAGAGAUUGGGAAGAACACCAGUGGCGGAGGCGGCUUACUGGGCUGUAACUGACGCUGAGGCGCGAAAGCGUGGGGAGCGAAC